Molecule: long non-coding RNA, 1042 nt
Organism: Phyllostomus discolor (pale spear-nosed bat)
Lineage: Eukaryota; Metazoa; Chordata; Mammalia; Chiroptera; Phyllostomidae
Exons: 2
Source: RefSeq, a predicted model, not a curated record
GCGACAGCCCGCGGGCACAGUCGCCACUGCCCACUCCGAGGCCCAGCCCACCGGAAAUGACGGCGCCGGCAGUGCUGACGUUAGAGGGUCUCGGUCACUCCCAGUCACGCGAGUCACGCUGGGGGUGGGUCAGGGUGCCUAGCUGCACCUCUGGGCCCACGGGCUUCCCACCCACCCCCGACACGGUGCAUCUUGGGUUGAAGUCAAGGGACCAGGCGGCACCAGGUCACCUUCUUCCAGGAGUGCCCCCACCCCUGGAGGCGGGCCCGCCGCCCUCCCUGCCCUCAGACUUCCCAGCGCUGGGCACCCGCUGCACUGGACGCUCAGGCCCCGUCUGGCCCGCCCUCCAGUCUGAGGUCAGCGCCUGGCAGGGCACCCUCUCUUUUGUACCCUUUGGGACGCUCACGCUCAGAGCCCAGGGCCUUGCUGUGAGAGGCCCAGGCCACGCAGGAGACCCAUGUUGACGAUGCCAGACUCAGCCCCAGCUGAGCCCAGGCUUUGAGUCCUCCCAAGACGCCAGACGCCAGAUACGGAAGUGGAGAAGCCCCCAGAUGGUUCCAGCACCCAGCUGUGCCGAGUUAACCCCUCCCCUAGCCAUUCCGGUCUUCCCAGCUGAGACCCUGGACGUGGUGGAGCAGACGCAAGCCACCUCAGCUGGGCCCUGCCUGAAUUACUGGCUAAUGAAUUUACAAUAAAUGUUUCUUGUUUUACAUCAGAUUUGGUGGGGAGAGAGGCAGUACCCAGAACAUGCAUUAAAGUGACAAUCAGGAUUCCACAUCGCCAGCAUCACCUGUAUCCUUUGGGUGAUUAUGAAUGAAAUUACUAUCAGCAUUACACAUUUUUGUGUGUGUGUGUGUGAAUAUCUGUCUUCGUUUCUCCUGGGUAAAUACCACAAGUGGAAUUACAGAGUUAUAUAGUAAUUGUAUAUUCAGCUUUAUAAGAACAUAUAAAUGCUCCCCAUCCAAGCCAGUAUUUGUUAUGUCAGGGUUUGUGUUGUUUUUUUUUUCUUCCCCAUCCUGAUAGGUAUAUAAUGGUUACCAUG